UACGAAGGGGGCGAGCGUUGUUCGGAAUUACUGGGCGUAAAGGGCGCGCAGGCGGCCCUUGAAGUCAGGCGUGAAAGCCCCGGGCUCAACCUGGGAGGUGCGCUUGAUACUCGAGGGCUUGAGUGCGGGAGAGGAGAGUGGAAUUCCCAGUGUAGAGGUGAAAUUCGUAGAUAUUGGGAGGAACACCAAUGGCGAAGGCAGCUCGCUGGGACGUGACUGACGCUGAGACGCGAAAGCGUGGGGAGCAAACAGG
This 253-nucleotide ribosomal RNA is filed under the name uncultured bacterium. Its description in RNAcentral is "partial 16S ribosomal RNA". It matches the Rfam family "Bacterial small subunit ribosomal RNA", at positions 524 to 776 of the family's 1533-position model. The record is from RNAcentral.